GGGAUUGUGGCUCAGGGGUACAGCACAUGCCUGGCCUGUAAGAGGCCCUGGGUUCCAUUCUCAGCACCCCA
This 71-nucleotide transfer RNA is filed under the name Marmota monax (woodchuck). RNAcentral's name for it is "tRNA.Ala". Lineage: Eukaryota; Metazoa; Chordata; Mammalia; Rodentia; Sciuridae. The record is from RNAcentral.